Molecule: long non-coding RNA, 240 nt
Filed under: Lathyrus oleraceus (garden pea)
Lineage: Eukaryota; Viridiplantae; Streptophyta; Magnoliopsida; Fabales; Fabaceae
Description: Pisum sativum (pea) long non-coding RNA (PSAT_LNC012098)
Source: RNAcentral
GAUAACAGACCUGGCCAAAGGAUCAUAGUGAAACUGUCAAACUGGAUGUCUUGACAGUUGUUCAUGUAGGCUGAUACUGGAGUAGAGACUGGUUAGUCUUUUACAGUAUAGCAAAGUCAGCACAGUCUGGUUUCAAGAACAUAACUGAAUCAGCAUGAGGAAUAUGUUCUGGAUGUCAACCUGAAUGUCGUAACAUUCACACCUGACUGCUUGGGCUAAAUUGUAGGAUAAUUAGUUUUU